Pan troglodytes (chimpanzee) is the source of this 1084-nucleotide RNA transcript. It is a transcript of the gene named NADH:ubiquinone oxidoreductase complex assembly factor 4, with no coding region annotated. The record is from RefSeq and is a predicted model, not a curated record. The transcript is spliced from 3 exons. Lineage: Eukaryota; Metazoa; Chordata; Mammalia; Primates; Hominidae.
UGCUCUUGGUGUCCCGGAGUUGUCCUGCGCCGGUGUUCCCACGUGCGGCCUGAACCUGAGCGCAUAAUGUUAUGAGGAGAUGGGAGCACUAGUGAUUCGCGGUAUCAGGAAUUUCAACCUAGAGAACCGAGCGGAACGGGAAAUCAGCAAGAUGAAGCCCUCUGUCGCUCCCAGACACCCCUCUACCAACAGCCUCCUGCGAGAGCAGAUUAGUCGUGAGUGGUGCGAGGGCGUUUCGGGGCCCGGGGGCGCGGAGUCCCUGUGCUGCCCGGCUGUCCCUAGCGUGGGUCCGGAGGCCGAGGGAUCGGCGUCAGCCUGCUCGGCCGCAGCCGCUCGGGUUGGCGGAGCGUUGGAAGGGGGAGCCGCCAGGCCGGUGACAUUGAGACUGUCCUCCGCGCCCGCGGUGAGGUCGGCGGCCCCGCCUACUUCCGAGACCCAGAGGCAGCGGCCAGUGCUCCCGCUAACCAGGCCCUCGCCGGCUGCUGUCACGGACUUGAUACAGGGAAUCAAAAUCCGAGAGGGUCACAGAGCUUUCUCUAGGGGUCUUCACUGGACGAUGGACGCAGAGCCUGACCUGGAAUUUUGAUUUCCAUCUAAAUCUAUCCAGAAGUUAAAGGAGAGAUUGCUUGUAAAGAUGAAAAGCUGCUGUCGUUUCUAAAAGAUGUGUAUGUUGAUUCCAAAGAUCCUGUGUCUUCCUUGCAGGUAAAAGCUGCUGAAACAUGUCAAGAGCCGAAGGAAUUCAGAUUGCCAAAAGACCAUCACUUUGAUAUGAUAAAUAUUAAGAGCAUUCCCAAAGGCAAAAUUUCCAUUGUAGAAGCAUUGACACUUCUCAAUAAUCAUAAGCUUUUUCCAGAAACCUGGACUGCUGAGAAAAUAAUGCAAGAAUACCAGUUAGAACAGAAAGAUGUGAAUUCUCUUCUUAAAUAUUUUGUUACUUUUGAAGUCGAAAUCUUCCCUCCUGAAGACAAGAAAGCAAUACGAUCAAAAUGAAGAAAAUCACAGAAAUUUCCUAUGUGUACUCCUCAUCCCUCCUGCUGUAUAUUUUCUCAUUUUUUGCGUAAUAAAUUAUGUUAAUUACCAAAUA